This is a long non-coding RNA of Octopus bimaculoides (California two-spot octopus), 683 nucleotides long. Lineage: Eukaryota; Metazoa; Mollusca; Cephalopoda; Octopoda; Octopodidae. The record is from RefSeq and is a predicted model, not a curated record.
UCGAGCACGAACAAUCAGCUGAAUAGACUGAACAAUAUGAAAUGAAAUGCCUUGCUCAAAAGCAAAAUACGCCGCCCGGAGCAAGACUCGGACCUACUACCUUAUGAUCGUGAACCCAACAUCCCAAAGACUAGACCACGCACCUUCACAAACAUAUGCACUCACUCGCGAUAGAAUUGAAUCCAAAGAGAACACAGUGAGGAUAUUUGUUAAAACAGCAUUCAAUGGAAAGUGGUACUGAGUCAAAAAAUGUUGAGAACAACUGGCCUAUAACAAGAUGAUUGAUGUUACAAAGAAAGACAUUUUUAGCUAUAACAUUCUACACUAAAAACAAAAAAAAAAACACUCUAAAUAAAAUGUAAAAAUGAGCUUCAUAUACUAUAAACCUAUGAUAAAAAGAAAAAAUUACAUAAGAUUUAUACACAGAACUAAUAGGGAUAGGACUAGUCAAUUACAUUAGCCCCCAUUCUCAACUGGUACUUAUUUUAUCAACCACAAAAAGGAUGAAAGACAAAGUCAACCUCAGAACAUGUAGACAGAAUAGAUACUACUAAACAUUUUGUCUGGCACAAUAAUGAUUCUGCCAGCUUGCCGCCUCAUAAGCAGAAUUAAUAACAGUCAUAAAAUUGUGAAUAAGUGAAGCUAAUCAAAAAUUAAAUAAAAGCAUGAAUGAGCAAACUUAA